This 252-nucleotide ribosomal RNA is filed under the name uncultured bacterium. RNAcentral describes it as "partial small subunit ribosomal RNA". It matches the Rfam family "Bacterial small subunit ribosomal RNA", at positions 26 to 284 of the family's 1533-position model. The record is from RNAcentral.
AGGACGAACGCUGGCGGCGUGCUUAACACAUGCAAGUCGAGCGGAAAGGCCCUUCGGGGUACUCGAGCGGCGAACGGGUGAGUAACACGUGAGCAAUCUGCCCCUAGCUCUGGGAUAGCUCCGGGAAACCGGGAUUAAUACCAGAUACAACCACUUUAGACAUCUUUUGUGGUGGAAAGGAUUCCGGCUAGGGAUGAGCCCGCGGCCUAUCAGCUUGUUGGUGGGUGAUGGCCUACCAAGGCGACGACGGGU